Long non-coding RNA from Sitophilus oryzae (rice weevil), 709 nucleotides. RefSeq lists it as uncharacterized. The record is from RefSeq and is a predicted model, not a curated record. NCBI's taxonomy places the organism in Eukaryota, Metazoa, Arthropoda, Insecta, Coleoptera, Curculionidae. The transcript has 3 exons.
CUAUAGUAGGGGAAUUGGACGCGGUCAACAGUGUCAAUACUGUCGAUAAACAGCUGAUUGGCAUGAUCAGCUGUUUUCCGUGCUUUUAUUUUUCCAUAUUUCUUAACUAUUAAUAAACUAUUAAUGUAUAAUUGUUUCAUUUUAUAUAAAAGACCAAAAUUAGCAUUUAAAAUGGGUCUACACUGGCAAAAUGUGUGAGAAUAAAAGAAUUUAAACAUCGUCAUUUCAAAAAUUUCUAAAAGAUAGUGAGAGAAAAAAUUAAAUGGUUUUCUCUGUUAGGAUUUAUUCAUAGCAUAAUAUUAAAAAGUCGAGCAAAAGAGAACUCAAGAACAGCUGAUUUUUUUAUAAGGAAUUGAAGAAAAUAUUUAAAAUCUGAUGAUUUUCACAGCCAUUUAUGUCGCGAUUUGUGGUCUUUCAGUUGUUUCAACAUCAUCUAGGAAAUUAACAUUAAGAUAUCAGGAUCCUGCAUAUAACAAGAUAAGAACUAUGAUCUUGUUAGGAUACCGUCACAAUAUGAAGUGAAGAUAUUCAUGGUGUGGAAGUCGUUACUUUAAUUACAUAGUGCAUAUGAAAUUGGUCCCUUUACAUCAUGUUUAAAAUUGACGUAAUGCUACUAUGCAAAAUAGUGAGAGAUGUGAACCCUAGGCAGAGCUACAGAAUUACUUUUGUUGAGAGACAAAUUAUGAUAGUGAUUAGAAUCGCAUAUUCU